UUGACAUGUCCUGAACCCCGGUGAGAGCUGGGGUGCCCGAAAGGGAACGGAACACAGGUGCUGCAUGGCUGUCGUCAGCUCGUGUCGUGAGAUGUUGGGUUAAGUCCCGCAACGAGCGCAACCCUUGUCAUUAGUUGCUACAUUCAGUUGGGCACUCUAAUGAGACUGCCGGUGACAAACCGGAGGAAGGUGGGGAUGACGUCAAGUCCUCAUGGCCCUUAUGGGUAGGGCUUCACACGUAAUACAAUGGCGCGUACAGAGGGUUGCCAAGGGGUGACCUGGAGCCAAUCCCGCAAAGCGCGUCGUAGUCCGGAUUGCAGUCUGCAACUCGACUGCAUGAAGUCGGAAUCGCUAGUAAUCGCGGAUCAGCAUGUCGCGGUGAAUACGUUCCCGGGUCUUGUACACACCGCCCGUCACACCAUGGGAGUGGGUUUCACCAGAAGCCGGUCGCCUAACCGCAAGGGGGGCGCCGACCACGGUGAGAUUCAUGACUGGGGUGAAGUCGUAACAAGGUAAGCGUAGUGCU
RNAcentral lists this ribosomal RNA (526 nucleotides) under uncultured bacterium. RNAcentral describes it as "bacterial SSU rRNA". It matches the Rfam family "Bacterial small subunit ribosomal RNA", at positions 981 to 1509 of the family's 1533-position model. The record is from RNAcentral.